Molecule: long non-coding RNA, 387 nt
Organism: Liolophura sinensis
Lineage: Eukaryota; Metazoa; Mollusca; Polyplacophora; Chitonida; Chitonidae
Exons: 3
Source: RefSeq, a predicted model, not a curated record
CCAGAAAUGAGGCCCGCCUCCAGUGAUUGCCUUCUCUGAAUUUGUGUUAAAUCUGUCAGAAUGGUUCAAAUUGGCUGUUACACAGUUUUAUGCACGGCGGGUGUUUUGUUUUGUAUCUUGUUUGCUCCACCUGUGUUGACAUUGCGCUGCUAUGUAUGUGAUUCCAUGGAAUCGCCAGACUGCGGAGACCGUUUCCGCGUGUUGCCAUCCGAUGCAUCUAACUGUCCUUCAGGUUCACGCUGUAUUAAAUUCCGAGGAUUUAGAGGAUCUGGUGUUGUUAAAAGUCCUGAAGUGCACCGUUACUGUUCACUGGAGUAUGAUUCCAAUGGCUGUCAGUCAGCCUACAGAAAUGGGAUAGACGGAGAGGCAUGUGCAUGUACUAGAGAC